Molecule: ribosomal RNA, 279 nt
Filed under: uncultured bacterium
Lineage: Bacteria
Description: partial 16S ribosomal RNA
Rfam family: Bacterial small subunit ribosomal RNA
Source: RNAcentral
UGCCAGCCGCCGCGGUAAUACGAAGGGACCUAGCGUAGUUCGGAAUUACUGGGCUUAAAGAGUUCGUAGGUGGUUGAAAAAGUUGGUGGUGAAAUCCCAGAGCUUAACUCUGGAACCGCCAUCAAAACUUUUCAGCUAGAGUAUGAUAGAGGAAAGCAGAAUUUCUAGUGUAGAGGUGACAGUCGUAGAUAUUAGAAAGAAUAACAACUGCGAAGGCAGCUUUCUGUAUCAUUACUGACACUGAGUAACGAAAGCAUUGGGAGAGAAGAGGAUUCGAUC